Non-coding RNA from Pan troglodytes (chimpanzee), 3836 nucleotides. NCBI's taxonomy places the organism in Eukaryota, Metazoa, Chordata, Mammalia, Primates, Hominidae. The record is from RefSeq and is a predicted model, not a curated record.
GGCACAGUGAACUCCUCAUAGCAUCUUCUUUGGAAUUACUCAGGAACCAGAACUUUUUACACAAAUGUAAGAAAUUCUACCAAGGAGUCCCCUUACCUAACAGCAUCUCACAAGGCUGCACCAGAUUCCAGAAGAGGCUUCUCUUGAUACAUCAAGCAUUUUGUGACCGACUUAUUCUUAGAUCAUUGGUUUUCCAAAGGCUUUGUGGCCAUGAAGCCCUUUGAGUGAAAACUGUGCAGAAGCCCAGAGUAAAAGUGAAGCUGCUCUGGAUGAAGUAGUGAAGCAAGAGUAGGGGCCUGAAUCCUGCUACAACUAUCUUCCUUUACCACCGUGGUGACACCUAAGGGGACUUCCUUACAACACCUUGAACUCUUCCGAACACAGUUUGAAAACCACUGCCCCAGACAGCAAUAUGUUUGACCUGAAUGGCAUUCCAAUCUUUUCUGUACCUCCACUCAGCACAGUUCAUGUUCAGUAGAUGCUGAACAUUCUUAGAAAUACUGUGUGUGAACUUAGAAAAGUGCAAGAAGACAGGCAUGUCUUUGACCCCAGAAAUGAUCAUGGGCUGAAGAUGGUGUCAAGUGAACCUAGAUUAACAGCCCUCCACUCCAGAUGGAUAUCCAGUGAUUCCUAGAAUGGGAUAUAGCCAGAGAACAAUUCUAUGCACCCUACACUGACAGACUCCCUUAAGCAACACCAGAUGCUCUACUGGUACUUGAAGUACAUGACUUUGAAGUCUUGACCCUCCAUGAAUACCUGAAUUAUCAGCAAGCGGGUUUUGAAGCUGGUGCCUCAUUGAGGCCAUAUUAGAGCAACUUGUACAUUUGACCUCUUGUUAUCAGCCAUGGUACUCUACUUCGUGGGCAAGAGAUAACUAUGAAAGCCAAAUUCAAAUACUGGCAACAUUUCCUAAAGGGGCUCAAUAUCUAUCAUUCAUCUUCUUUUCCAAACUACACAUCACUGUAUGACUCAACCAGUAGCAGUUAUAUUGCCCCUUGGUUUUUAUUCAGUUUAACUACUGUUUCCAAGAUAAAUGAGCUAAUAAGCUUUAAAAAAAAAAAAAAAAGGCUGAAUUCUUUUUUCUUCGUCACUGGCAUAUCUGCCUAUUCUCCAGAAUUACGACUAUUCAGCUCACUUUAACAGUUGAACUUCAAGCGACAAUCUUUGAACACCCCUUCUCAUGUGAUUUAAAAUGAAACCAUUUGGAAAAGUUUCUUCUAGCCAGUAAUAGAUUUUUUUUUUAAUUGCUCUGCCUUGUGCCGAGAGAUGUUCUUUUAAGAUGAAUCUUUUGAUGUCUGAUACCACCAAAUAUAGGUGGUAGGGAGAGUUGGAGGCUGGCCCUUUGAGCAGGCCAUUAGCUUACUUGCUGGGCAUUUCCGAUAGCUUAUUGCCUACCUUUUUGCUGGAAACAAACUGAUUUGAAAAACAAAAUCUAUGAAGACUGCAGCUAAGGAUUUUAUCGGUAGACUUAAGAGCUUUUGUCCUUGUGGAUAUUUUAGUGGAACCACAUCAGUCUCAAUACCGUCAUUUUACACUGACUCAGAGCAGCUGACUUCAUUCCUUGCCAUGAUAUAUAUUUAAGGCAGGCAUUGUAACAGACAUAAAGACAACUUAUCUGUUUCAGCAGGAAGGAUUCAGUUUAUGAACUCUCAGACCAGAUCACGUUGAACAAGGAGACUUUGAUGUGUGUCAUGAGAAAACUCAUUCUUUACUUCCCAGUCAAUUUAAAGGCCAGCUAUCCUGAGCUACUCGAAUGGAUGCACUGGUUAAACAUUGGAAAUAGUUUGUUUAUAUCCUUGUCUCUCUCUAGGCCAAUUGUGAUUACAUGACUCGACUCUACAUCUCGUCAAACAAGGCCUAGGUCUGGUUGCUGUAGACUGCUCGCCCUCAACAAAUAAAAUCUGGUUGACUAGCCUCCUUGUAUAUACAACUAUUAUUUGUUAAGAAGAAAUUAUCGUCAAUUUUCUACUACCUUCUAAUUGUCAGCUCUUUUUUUCCUCUCUGGUUUUUCCUAUACUUUACAGAAAAAGACAUUGAUCUAUACUGCCAUUCCCUCUAAUCCUGCCAUACUCAGUCAAAAGGAAUGACUUAAGAUGAAGAUGAUCAUCUGCUCAAGUCUAAAAUAUACAUUGUAUAUAAGAAUUGGUGAUUAGAAAAGCAAAAAACCUAAAACUUAAAUCUAGGAGUCUGUAUACUGUCUCCAUGUCUCCAUGCCUCAGAUCUCAUCUAAAUCUUUGAACAGCACCAUUCAACCAAUCUGAGGCCUUGACUUGCUUGUAAGAUGAUUCUCAGAGAUCGGCUGAGUUAAAAAAGAUGACGACUUGAUUACCAAAGAAAGUAGGGCCAACUUUGACAAAUCUGGCUCUGCUGACCCUGUCACUCCCAGAUGUAGCAUAGACUCCUAAACAGAACCUCAAGUCUGAUUGAGGAUAAGGCCUUCUCCUGUGCUGAAAGUUCUUUGGCAGAUGAGCAAGAAACUGAAAGCUGAUGUACCUGACUGGCUCUGUAAGAUCAGAAAACUAUAUCCAGAACAAGCCCUAUGGAUUAACCCCUGAGUACCCAGAGUAAAAACUAAUUUACAGAACUUCCUUAUUGAUCUGCUGAUUCUUCCAGAUCAUAUUCUGGCUAUUGGUAUGGCUGGCCUUUCUGAAGGUACCCUGCUUGUCUAUUUUCCUGACUCAGCUCUUGCCUGCCUUUUUCACAUGUUGCUGCAAUUAGACUCACCGUGAGAAGACUACAGUCAAUUUCAGUCUAUCUUGUGCCCAAUACAACAAGGAUUUUUAAUAGUAACAACCCACACCUCACCCACUAGGACUCAAUGUUCACAACAGGAAGGACCAUUGCUGCAUACUCCUUGACCAGCAACUUUUUUAAAGAUAUUUUUAAGUGCAGAGUAGGCCUCUAUUCCUGUAUGUAAUUGUUCAUUUUCAGCACCUGGAACCUCAUCUAUCGGGUCUGGAAGGAACACAGCAGUUCGAAAGCCGCGUCCAUUUCUCUCCUUCAGUAGUGCAGAAAUGAGUCCGAUUCACCAGUACACACAGAACUGUACCAGUUCAACCUAGCAAAAGAAGAAAAGUUUCCACUGUACUUAAAAUUUACAGCUGACUCAAAUUGCCUCACAGAAUUAUUUGAUGUAGAAGGCUAGUUGUCUUACUUCAGAUCAGCAGGACAGUUGGGCUCUCAGACUCAUGACCACUGAGUUUGCUUGUAUUGAAACUGUGGUUUCAUCCAACGUAUGCUAUUGGACAUGAUUAUUAUUCCAUUCAAAUGGAUUACAGACUUCUUGAGGACAGGACAAACUUAUCUCUCAUGGUGUUUUUUUAGAAUACUUUUAUAACCAAGGAAGAAACCAUGCCAGCUGUUACCAUUCAACUUCUUAAGCAAAGAUUAAGCUUUUUCAUAUCUGUUCUUAUCCUGGACAUCAGUAGUUUUUAAUUGCCCAGCAUCCGUUCCAUCUUGUUGUAACAACUCCCUGAUGUUUCUUAAAACCACCUCUUCCUAUUUUCAGUCUGUGGUUUGGACAGUCUGACCCAACCUUGAGCUUUGUGGGUGAAAAUGUAAUUCAGACCUCAUCAAUCAGCAAAUCCAUCUGAACUGUGGAGGAGAAGCUCUCUUUACUGAGGGUGCUUUAGCUUUGUAGGAUGAAAACCUCAAACCAACAGGGCCUACCAUGUAGAGAAUGAAGCCAGUGCAGGGGAAAGCAGAGCCAAAAUAUGGAGAGACUUGAAUCCUGAUGACAGCGUUUGUGCCCCUGGAUCCAACCGUGCCUGAAGCUAGAAUAUCCCCUGGACUUUUCAGUUAUGUGAACCAAUAAAUACCCUUUUUUGCUUAAGUUA